This is a regulatory RNA element of Drosophila melanogaster (fruit fly), 152 nucleotides long. It matches the Rfam family "Hsp90 cis-regulatory element". Rfam says of the family: The hsp90 gene product is involved in the Drosophila heat shock response and translation of the hsp90 mRNA is very inefficient under normal growth temperatures. When heat shock occurs translation becomes more efficient. NCBI's taxonomy places the organism in Eukaryota, Metazoa, Arthropoda, Insecta, Diptera, Drosophilidae. The record is from Rfam.
AGUCUUGAAAAAAAUUUCGUACGGUGUGCGUCGUAACAACAAGCAGCGUCUGAAAAGUUUUGUGAAUUUCCAAUUCUAUACAAAGCAAAGUGAAAAUAUCUGUAUUUUUACCUUUAUUCUGUGAAUAGAACGAAAAACAUACAUACAAGGUG